AUUGAACGCUGGCGGCAUGCCUUACACAUGCAAGUCGAACGGCAGCACGGGAGCAAUCCUGGUGGCGAGUGGCGAACGGGUGAGUAAUAUAUCGGAACGUGCCCAGUCGUGGGGGAUAACGUAGCGAAAGCUACGCUAAUACCGCAUACGAUCUAUGGAUGAAAGCGGGGGAUCGCAAGACCUCGCGCGAUUGGAGCGGCCGAUAUCAGAUUAGGUAGUUGGUGAGGUAAAGGCUCACCAAGCCGACGAUCUGUAGCUGGUCUGAGAGGACGACCAGCCACACUGGGACUGAGACACGGCCCAGACUCCUACGGGAGGCAGCAGUGGGGAAUUUUGGACAAUGGGCGCAAGCCUGACCCAGCAAUGCCGCGUGCAGGAUGAAGGCCUUCGGGUUGUAAACUGCUUUUGUACGGGACGAAACGGUGAGCUCUAAUACAGUUUGCUAAUGACGGUACCGUAAGAAUAAGCACCGGCUAACUACGUG
RNAcentral lists this ribosomal RNA (484 nucleotides) under uncultured bacterium. Its description in RNAcentral is "bacterial SSU rRNA". It matches the Rfam family "Bacterial small subunit ribosomal RNA", at positions 30 to 507 of the family's 1533-position model. The record is from RNAcentral.